AACAAUUGGAGGGCGAGUCUGGUGCCAGCAGCCGCGGUAAUUCCAGCUCCAAUAGCGUAUAUUAAAGUUGUUGCAGUUAAAAAGCUCGUAGUUGAAUUUCGGGACCAAUAUGUCGGUCGUGCUUCGGUACGUACGUGCAUUAUUGGUUUCUCCCUUCUGAAGAACCAUGAUGUCAUUAAUUUGGUGUCUUGGGGAAUCAGGACUGUUACUUUGAAAAAAUUAGAGUGUUUAAAGCAGGCAUACGCUUGAAUACAUUAGCAUGGAAUAAUGGAAUAGGACGUUUGAUUCUAUUUUGUUGGUUUCUAGGAUCGACGUAAUGAUUAAUAGGGAUAGUUGGGGGCAUUAGUAUUCAAUUGUCAGAGGUGAAAUUCUUGGAUUUAUUGAAGACUAACUACUGCGGAAGCAUUUGCCAAGGAUGUUUUCAUUAAUCAAGAACGAAAGUUAGGGGAU
Molecule: ribosomal RNA, 450 nt
Filed under: uncultured Glomus
Lineage: Eukaryota; Fungi; Glomeromycota; Glomeromycetes; Glomerales; Glomeraceae
Description: SSU rRNA
Rfam family: Eukaryotic small subunit ribosomal RNA
Source: RNAcentral